Molecule: ribosomal RNA, 391 nt
Filed under: uncultured bacterium
Lineage: Bacteria
Description: bacterial SSU rRNA
Rfam family: Bacterial small subunit ribosomal RNA
Source: RNAcentral
GACGAACGCUGGCGGCGUGCUUAACACACGCAAGUCGAGCGGUAAGGCCCUUUCGGGGGUACACGAGCGGCGAACGGGUGAGUAACACGUGGGUGACCUGCCCUUAGCUCUGGGAUAAGCCUGGGAAACUGGGUCUAAUACCGGAUAUGACUCCAUGACGCAUGUUGUGGGGUGGAAAGCCUUGUGCGGCUAGGGAUGGGCCCGCGGCCUAUCAGCUUGUUGGUGGGGUGAUGGCCUACCAAGGCGACGACGGGUAGCCGGCCUGAGAGGGCGACCGGCCACACUGGGACUGAGACACGGCCCAGACUCCUACGGGAGGCAGCAGUGGGGAAUCUUGCGCAAUGGGCGAAAGCCUGACGCAGCGACGCCGCGUGAGGGAUGACGGCCUCGG